UUCAGGAUUUUUAAUAUUUAAAAAUUUUUUUUGGAAAGUCCGAUACGAAUUAAAGAUAAUAGAUGGAUUCUAUUCUGUAAAAACAGAAGACAUUUAAAAGAAACUAAAAUUCACUGAAGGCGAACUCCUUAAUCUUAUCUUCGUUAUUCUAUUGAUUUCUGAAAUAGAUAAUAAAUAUAUAUAACAGAAUUCGGCUUAUAAAAAUCUGAAAA
This 212-nucleotide non-coding RNA is filed under the name Pneumocystis murina. The record is from RNAcentral. Lineage: Eukaryota; Fungi; Ascomycota; Pneumocystomycetes; Pneumocystales; Pneumocystaceae.